This 466-nucleotide ribosomal RNA is filed under the name uncultured bacterium. RNAcentral's name for it is "partial 16S ribosomal RNA". It matches the Rfam family "Bacterial small subunit ribosomal RNA", at positions 28 to 507 of the family's 1533-position model. The record is from RNAcentral.
GAUGAACGCUGGCGGCGUGCUUAACACAUGCAAGUCGAACGGAAAGGCCAGUGCUUGCACUGGUGCUCGAGUGGCGAACGGGUGAGUAACACGUGGGUGAUCUGCCCUGCACUUUGGGAUAAGCCUGGGAAACUGGGUCUAAUACCAGAUAGGACCAUGCUUUGGAUGGUGUGGUGGAAAGUUUUUUCGGUUUGGGAUGGGCUUGCGGCCUAUCAGCUUGUUGGGGGGGUAAUGGCCUACCAAGGCGUCGCCGGGUAGCCGGCCUGGGAGGGGGUCCGGCCCCAUUGGGACGGGAAUCGGGCCCGGCUCCCACGGGGAGGCAGCGGUGGGGAAAUUUGAACAAUGGGGCGAGCCCUGAGCAACCAAGCCGGGGUGGGGAUGACGGCCUUCGGGUUGUAAACUCCUUUCGCAACUGACGAAGCUUUUUGUGACGGUAGGUUGAGAAGAAGCACCGGCUAACUACGUG